This is a long non-coding RNA of Zerene cesonia (dogface butterfly), 1656 nucleotides long. RefSeq lists it as uncharacterized. The record is from RefSeq and is a predicted model, not a curated record. Lineage: Eukaryota; Metazoa; Arthropoda; Insecta; Lepidoptera; Pieridae. The transcript is spliced from 5 exons.
UGACAGUAAAAAUGAAUGUUAAACUGUCAUAACUCUAUCAUUAUAUUUUAACAUUUCUGUGGUUUCUAGUUUUAUGUCACCAAUCAAUACAACGUAUAGACUAUAUCACUUCUGCAUAAUAAAAUUAUGAAGUCAAAAAGAAUUAAUAGAGUCUAUCAUAAUAACGAAGGAAAUGGAUAUUUAGCUUAUUUCAUCAUUACCUCUGGACACCGGAGAAACUAGUAAUCUGUGAUAGACACUUGCAACUCAAGAAACGUUGUAGCCUGGAGGUGCUCCAACACUCUUUGGAAGACACCAAACAUGACUUCUAAAACCUACAAUUGAAAUGUUGGCACCAAAAAUGUGAGAUGAUGGGAGACCGAGAGGUGAGGCAUUGCCACAGUACAGCGAAUGAUAUUAUGAAUUGAAUAUGUGAAAAGAAAAUGGACUUUAAUCAUACAACUACAUGAAAUGUAAAUGAAUUAUUAUCAACUUGUAUGUGGAUAUUAGUUACAGUGCUAACUUUAUUAUCCAGCAUCGUGAUUAUCUGAACCAUAUUAAGUACCUACAAGUUAAAUUUUAUGGCACACAACAGAACAGCUCUAAAGUGGCUUGAAAAACAACCAUAGUGAAGAGAAUAAAGCCUAUAAAUUCAUUGUUAACAUUUGUUUGCAAAGUUGAAUAAAUAUGUCGAAGAGUUGCUGUUAACAUGUUCCUGACAACAAAGAGGAGACUUGAUGAUGCAGUAUGAAAUGUUAGUGUUCUAAUUUCAAUAGAGUCCCAGGAAUAUCAAUGUUCGAUCCUGGUGCGUUCCAUAGGAGAUCCCAGGAUCCCUGCUAUUGUGCUUUGAGUUUGGCCGCCGAGGAGGUUUUAGUGGGUAGUAAUCCCACAUGUUCUACUUUUCCCCCAAAGCUAGAGCACCUUUGGAAGAUUUCCUCUUCAUUAAAAAAAUUAGGAGUAUUAAUGUUUAAUCAAAAUUUCCAGCAAAAUAUUUAUAACAUAUUAAAUGGCUUAUGUCAAAUGACAACUAACAAAUAUUAUAAUACUAACUUAAAAGCAUUAUUUUAUUUUAAGAUUAAUGAUACUCUAUUUUACUUACCUUUUUUUUUAAAUAAAAUACAUAUAAUUUAAGAAUAUAUGCAUUUUAUAUGUAAAUAAGGUCAUUGGUUGCAUGUUGAAAAAUGUACUUCUUAAUUGUGUACUUUGUAAUAAUACGCAAAACACACUUUACCUGGAUUUUCUAUUAGCAGAAGGCCUAAUGACAACAAUUAGUUCAGUUAACAGAGUUUGUGUUUUAUUUAGGGAAUUUGGGAAUUUAUUUCAUUGUGAUUUUCAUAUAUUGGAUUUUUCUGUGAGUAUAGGCAUUAAAAUGGAAUAAAAUGAGCUGUAUAUGAGAUAUUAAUUUAUUUUUUGAAAGGCAUAUGUCAUACUGAAUAAUGUUUCAUUUCAUUCAUCUUCGUCCGUCAAAUCUAACCAGUAGUAAUAAAAAAAAGGUUUUUUCGUAACCAAGGUACUUCUUUGUCUUUUUUAUUGUACCACAACUUAAUAUUUCCCUGGUAAACUUGACUUGCAUGAAAUUGUUAGUUAUGGAUAAAAUAAAUUGUUGUACUCACACUGGCUUAUAUAAAAUGUAAAUUUGCUCUUGAUCUUAAAAGUCAAUAAAAUAAAUUGAGUGAA